Molecule: long non-coding RNA, 192 nt
Organism: Aedes aegypti (yellow fever mosquito)
Lineage: Eukaryota; Metazoa; Arthropoda; Insecta; Diptera; Culicidae
Exons: 2
Source: RefSeq, a predicted model, not a curated record
UUUGAUAGCCCCAUAGAAUGGUGAACGUCACACAUAGCGUCACCAGUUCACGGUAGAUAACUGUCAAAAUUAUUUACAAAUAAGAUUUAGCGGAGGAUGAAAAUUAUUACUGCCAAUUAGUUGGAAAGUUUUAUCAAUAAUUGUUUCCUUAUUGAAUUUUCGCCAACUGAAAAUGAAACUUCACUGGAAAAU